GGUGUCGUGGCGCAAUGGUAGCGCGUUGGCUUCCGGUGAUUGAUUGCCAAAGGCUGCAGGUUCGAGUCCUGCCGAUAUCG
Molecule: non-coding RNA, 80 nt
Organism: Trichophaea hybrida
Lineage: Eukaryota; Fungi; Ascomycota; Pezizomycetes; Pezizales; Pyronemataceae
Source: the annotation of a GenBank genome assembly